RNAcentral lists this ribosomal RNA (308 nucleotides) under Boophis picturatus. Its description in RNAcentral is "partial 16S ribosomal RNA". It matches the Rfam family "Bacterial large subunit ribosomal RNA", at positions 2220 to 2597 of the family's 2925-position model. Lineage: Eukaryota; Metazoa; Chordata; Amphibia; Anura; Mantellidae. The record is from RNAcentral.
CCCAUAUAUCUUUAUAUUUUUUUAGCAAAUGCUCGUUCGGUUUUAGGUUGGGGUGACCAUGGAGUAAAAAAUAACCUCCACGAAAAAAGGCAUAAAACCCUUAUCAAAGAGCCACAUCUCUAUGAAUUAGUAAACUAAUUUCUGAUGAUCCGAUAUUCGAUCAACGAACCAAGUUACCCUGGGGAUAACAGCGCAAUCCGCCUUAAGAGCCCCUAUCGACAGGCGGGUUUACGACCUCGAUGUUGGAUCAGGGUAUCCCAGUGGUGCAACAGCUACUAAAGGUUCGUUUGUUCAACGAUUAAAACCCU